AGGGACUCAGGCUCCUGCCUCCUCCCGUCCCCCCCCACCCGCCAGGCCCUCCGCCUCCUCCCAGCCCAGGGCCCUCCCUGCGCCUCCCCAGCCAGGCCAGGCCCCAUUCUCCCUCCAGCCGCGGGCAGGUGGCCCAUCCCUCCCUUCCUCCCAGGAACAAAAUGGAAUAGGGAUGGUGCUGGCUGGUCCUGAAGAGAAUUCAGCCUUGUAUGGAUAUGUCAGCUGAAGUGCUAGGAAUCGGAAAGGUCUAUGUGCUACACACAUAAGAGAACAGAGCAGUACCUUCAAAAUACCCUCAGUGGCAAGGACCAGAGAAGAACAAAGGGAUAUGUGCACAGAGGAGGAAGAACAAGGUUGAUGCUGCAUGGAUAUUUUGUUGAUAGACUUCCCUGUGAGCUCAGAGCAAACUCCUGAAGACAAGAUCAAUUUCUCCACCCUUCUCCUGUCUAUCUCCAUAAGAUGGCCAGAAUUAUGUUUCUCAAACUCCUAUCUGAUCAUGUUAUUUUCUGGAACUUAAAAUCCUUCUGAGACUUUACUCUCAGGGUAAAGUCACAAUUAUUAACAUGCUCCUCAAGGCUUUUCAGGGUCUGGAACCCUGCUGACUUCUCCAGUCUCAUUUCUUGCCCUUUUAUCCUCUUGCAUUAUUGCCCUCUGUUCAGCCUGGUAGCCACUAGCCACAUGUGGCUAUUUACAUUUAAAUUAAUUAAAAUUAAGUUAAAUUAAAAUUGCAUUUCCUGAGUUACAUGAUACCACAUUUCAAGUGCUCAGCAACCAUAUGUGACUAGUGGCUAUCAUAUUGGACGCUACUGAUACAGAAUAUUUUUAUCAUCAUAGCAAGUUCUUUGGGCAGUGAGGCUCUAUACUCUCAAUACCUCAUGUAUGAUAUAUACUGUGGGAAUUUGCUCAGCUAAGCCCUUUGCUUGAAACGUUCUUCUUCCAUGGGGCGCCUGGGUGGCUCAGUUGCUUAAGCGACUGCCUUCGGCUCAGGUCAUGAUCCUGGAGUCCCAGGAUCAAGUCCCGGGAUCGAGUCCCGCAUCAAGUCCUGCAUCGAGUCCCGCAUCGGGCUCCGCAUCGGGCUCCCUGCUCGGCAGGGAGUCUGCUUCUCCCUCUGACCCUCCCCUUCUCAUGUGCUCUC
This is a long non-coding RNA of Mirounga angustirostris (Northern elephant seal), 1135 nucleotides long. RefSeq lists it as uncharacterized. The record is from RefSeq and is a predicted model, not a curated record. The transcript has 4 exons. NCBI's taxonomy places the organism in Eukaryota, Metazoa, Chordata, Mammalia, Carnivora, Phocidae.